GAUGAACGCUGGCGGCGUGCCUAAUACAUGCAAGUCGAGCGAACGGACGAGAAGCUUGCUUCUCUGAUGUUAGCGGCGGACGGGUGAGUAACACGUGGAUAACCUACCUAUAAGACUGGGAUAACUUCGGGAAACCGGAGCUAAUACCGGAUAAUAUUUUGAACCGCAUGGUUCAAAAGUGAAAGACGGUCUUGCUGUCACUUAUAGAUGGAUCCGCGCUGCAUUAGCUAGUUGGUAAGGUAACGGCUUACCAAGGCAACGAUGCAUAGCCGACCUGAGAGGGUGAUCGGCCACACUGGAACUGAGACACGGUCCAGACUCCUACGGGAGGCAGCAGUAGGGAAUCUUCCGCAAUGGGCGAAAGCCUGACGGAGCAACGCCGCGUGAGUGAUGAAGGUCUUCGGAUCGUAAAACUCUGUUAUUAGGGAAGAACAUAUGUGUAAGUAACUGUGCACAUCUUGACGGUACCUAAUCAGAAAGCCACGGCUAACUACGUGCCAGCAGCCGCGGUAAUACGUAGGUGGCAAGCGUUAUCCGGAAUUAUUGGGCGUAAAGCGCGCGUAGGCGGUUUUUUAAGUCUGAUGUGAAAGCCCACGGCUCACCCGUGGAGGGUCAUUGGAAACUGGAAAACUUGAGUGCAGAAGAGGAAAGUGGAAUUCCAUGUGUAGCGGUGAAAUGCGCAGAGAUAUGGAGGAACACCAGUGGCGAAGGCGACUUUCUGGUCUGUAACUGACGCUGAUGUGCGAAAGCGUGGGGAUCAAACAGGAUUGGAUACCCUGGUAGUCCACGCCGUAAACGAUGAGUGCUAAGUGUUAGGGGGUUUCCGCCCCUUAGUGCUGCAGCUAACGCAUUAAGCACUCCGCCUGGGGAGUACGACCGCAAGGUUGAAACUCAAAGGAAUUGACGGGGACCCGCACAAGCGGUGGAGCAUGUGGUUUAAUUCGAAGCAACGCGAAGAACCUUACCAAAUCUUGACAUCCUUUGACAACUCUAGAGAUAGAGCCUUCCCCUUCGGGGGACAAAGUGACAGGUGGUGCAUGGUUGUCGUCAGCUCGUGUCGUGAGAUGUUGGGUUAAGUCCCGCAACGAGCGCAACCCUUAAGCUUAGUUGCCAUCAUUAAGUUGGGCACUCUAAGUUGACGGCCGGUGACAAACCGGAGGAAGGUGGGGAUGACGUCAAAUCAUCAUGCCCGUUAUGAUUUGGGCUACACACGUGCUACAAUGGACAAUACAAAGGGCAGCGAAACCGCGAGGUCAAGCAAAUCCCAUAAAGUUGUUCUCAGUUCGGAUUGUAGUCUGCAACUCGACUACAUGAAGCUGGAAUCGCUAGUAAUCGUAGAUCAGCAUGCUACGGUGAAUACGUUCCCGGGUCU
Molecule: ribosomal RNA, 1372 nt
Filed under: uncultured bacterium
Lineage: Bacteria
Description: bacterial SSU rRNA
Rfam family: Bacterial small subunit ribosomal RNA
Source: RNAcentral